Molecule: ribosomal RNA, 439 nt
Filed under: uncultured Pseudomonadota bacterium
Lineage: Bacteria; Pseudomonadati; Pseudomonadota
Description: bacterial SSU rRNA
Rfam family: Bacterial small subunit ribosomal RNA
Source: RNAcentral
UCGUGCGAGAAAGUAUCUUCGGAUAUGAGUAGAGCGGCGGACGGGUGAGUAACGCGUAGGAAUCUACCUAGUAGAAGGGGAUAGCCCGGGGAAACCCGGAUUAAUACCGUAUACCUCCUUCGGGAGAAAGAAGGCCUCUCUUUGAAGCUUUCGCUACUAGAUGAGCCUGCGUAAGAUUAGCUUGUUGGUGAGGUAAAGGCUCACCAAGGCUACGAUCUUUAGCUGGUCUGAGAGGACGAUCAGCCACAUUGGGACUGAGACACGGCCCAGACUCCUACGGGAGGCAGCAGUGGGGAAUAUUGGACAAUGGGCGCAAGCCUGAUCCAGCCAUACCGCGUGUGUGAAGAAGGCCUUCGGGUUGUAAAGCACUUUAAGCAGGGAGAAAAAGUUAUAAGUUAAUACCUUAUAACCCUGAUGUUACCUGCAGAAUAAGCACCGG